CUGUUAGUACAACUGCAACAAUGGAAAUUAGAGUACUUGCGGUUCUUAUUUGGAAAGAAAGAAUGCAUCUUGUUCUUGUUGGCACGAUAAUCGUGAAGAGCAGUGUAGCCCCAACCAAAAACAAAGCUGCAAUUGAUGGAUUUCUUGGCAGAGAAAUCUAAGCAACAAAAGGGACUGAGGUGGAGCACAGUUGCGGUAGCUUGCCCCAUCCCCCAUAUAUUUAGCGCUGUCAUCGGUCUCUCUGGGUAAGGGUU
This 254-nucleotide unclassified non-coding RNA is filed under the name Hevea brasiliensis (rubber tree). Lineage: Eukaryota; Viridiplantae; Streptophyta; Magnoliopsida; Malpighiales; Euphorbiaceae. The record is from RNAcentral.